RNAcentral lists this long non-coding RNA (953 nucleotides) under Vigna radiata. RNAcentral describes it as "long non-coding RNA (VRAD_LNC017789)". The record is from RNAcentral. Lineage: Eukaryota; Viridiplantae; Streptophyta; Magnoliopsida; Fabales; Fabaceae.
AAUAAAUAUUUAAGUUGUAAUAUGGAGGCAGAAGAAGGGGGACACCAAAAAGAAACCAUGGAAGGAAAUUGAAUGAAACCCUCUGUUUUCCACUGUGUGCAUCUGUGAGAGAGUGAUUAGCCACCAUUUUGUCUUGGACUCUAGGACUGUGAGUUGGAGAGGAACCAAGAGCUGUGAAGUGACGUUUGGUGCAACAAGAGGAGUGAAGUCAUUUUCAGUCAUCGCUUGGGAACCUUAGAAGUCUUGAAACUUUUGGAAAUUUGAGGUAAGGGGUGUAACUUUGGAUUAUAAAAUGGUAUAUGAUGGGUGGGUGUUAUUGUUAAAUAUUAAUGCUUAUAUGUUCCUUGAACACUUGUGUUUCUAUAUGUGUUUGGUGGGUGUUAUUAUUUACCUUGCAUGUUUCAAAAAUUUGGGGUUGUUGUAAAUAGAUACAUUGUUUGGUUUCAUUUUGGAUGUUGAGAAUAUAUGGUUAUUCACUUUCUUAUGAUAAAAACAUUGUCUGAAAUGACUUAUUUUCCCUCGUUUAAUUUGUAAAUGGUAAACUUGGGGCACAUUCAUACACUCCCUAAUAAAGAGUGUGGUGGUGUGAGGUUUGAGAGUUCCUUUUCCUUGUAUGGAAGAGAAGGGUGAGAGAGUUGGAACCAAGAAAAAAAUGAUAACAGUGAUACCUUAGGUUUGGUUGGAAUAAAAAGAGAGAGUUGGGUUUUGGGGUCUCACGUAAGAUGGGUACUGGUGCAUGGGGUUGCAUGAGAAAAAUGGGGUUUGGGUUGUUGUAGUGAAAAGAGAUUAGAAGAAAAUAGGGGUAGAAGAUUGACAUAAGUGAGGGUGAGAAAAGUGAGAGUUAAAGUGGGCAUUGAAAAGUCAAAGGGAAGUAAGGAGUGAAUUUAGAAGUGUGUAUGAGGAAGGUGCAUGCAUGGGAAUAUAUGUAAAUUGUAGUGAGUGAAGAGUAUAGG